GACGAACGCUGGCGGCGUGCUUAACACAUGCAAGUCGCACGGGACCCGCAAGGGUUCAGUGGCGGACGGGUGCGUAACACGUGAGGAACAUGCCCAUCGGUGGGGGAGUAGCCGGCCCGAACCGGCCGGGUAAGUACCGCGUACGCUGCUCGGGGCGGCAUGCCCUCGAGUUGGAAAGCAGCAAUGCGCCGAUGGAGUGCCUCGCGGCC
RNAcentral lists this ribosomal RNA (209 nucleotides) under uncultured bacterium. RNAcentral describes it as "partial 16S ribosomal RNA". It matches the Rfam family "Bacterial small subunit ribosomal RNA", at positions 28 to 238 of the family's 1533-position model. The record is from RNAcentral.